GUAGUCCACGCCCUAAACGAUGCGAACUGGAUGUUGGGUGCAACUUGGCACUCAGUAUCGAAGCUAACGCGUUAAGUUCGCCGCCUGGGAAGUACGGUCGCAAGACUGAAACUCAAAGGAAUUGACGGGGGCCCGCACAAGCGGUGGAGUAUGUGGUUUAAUUCGAUGCAACGCGCAGAACCUUACCUGGCCUUGACAUCCAGGGAACCUUGCAGAGAUGCGAGGGUGCCUUCGGGAACCCUGAGACAGGUGCUGCAUGGCUGUCGUCAGCUCGUGUCGUGAGAUGUUGGGUUAAGUCCCGCAACGAGCGCAACCCUUGUCCUUAGUUGCCAGCACUUCGGGUGGGAACUCUAAGGAGACCGCCGGCGACAAGCCGGA
RNAcentral lists this ribosomal RNA (378 nucleotides) under uncultured bacterium. RNAcentral describes it as "bacterial SSU rRNA". It matches the Rfam family "Bacterial small subunit ribosomal RNA", at positions 790 to 1167 of the family's 1533-position model. The record is from RNAcentral.